RNAcentral lists this transfer RNA (69 nucleotides) under Ictidomys tridecemlineatus (thirteen-lined ground squirrel). RNAcentral describes it as "Spermophilus tridecemlineatus (thirteen-lined ground squirrel) tRNA". It matches the Rfam family "tRNA". Rfam says of the family: Transfer RNA (tRNA) molecules are approximately 80 nucleotides in length. Their secondary structure includes four short double-helical elements and three loops (D, anti-codon, and T loops). The record is from Rfam by way of RNAcentral. Lineage: Eukaryota; Metazoa; Chordata; Mammalia; Rodentia; Sciuridae.
GGGGUUGUAGCUCAGUGGUAGAGCACUUGCCUAACAUUCGUGAGACACUGGGUUCAAUCCUCAGCACCA